RNAcentral lists this ribosomal RNA (1588 nucleotides) under Escherichia coli 3-020-07_S1_C1. RNAcentral describes it as "bacterial LSU rRNA". It matches the Rfam family "Bacterial large subunit ribosomal RNA", at positions 1354 to 2925 of the family's 2925-position model. Lineage: Bacteria; Pseudomonadati; Pseudomonadota; Gammaproteobacteria; Enterobacterales; Enterobacteriaceae. The record is from RNAcentral.
CCUGUCCAACGUUAAUCGGGGCAGGGUGAGUCGACCCCUAAGGCGAGGCCGAAAGGCGUAGUCGAUGGGAAACAGGUUAAUAUUCCUGUACUUGGUGUUACUGCGAAGGGGGGACGGAGAAGGCUAUGUUGGCCGGGCGACGGUUGUCCCGGUUUAAGCGUGUAGGCUGGUUUUCCAGGCAAAUCCGGAAAAUCAAGGCUGAGGCGUGAUGACGAGGCACUACGGUGCUGAAGCAACAAAUGCCCUGCUUCCAGGAAAAGCCUCUAAGCAUCAGGUAACAUCAAAUCGUACCCCAAACCGACACAGGUGGUCAGGUAGAGAAUACCAAGGCGCUUGAGAGAACUCGGGUGAAGGAACUAGGCAAAAUGGUGCCGUAACUUCGGGAGAAGGCACGCUGAUAUGUAGGUGAAGUCCCUCGCGGAUGGAGCUGAAAUCAGUCGAAGAUACCAGCUGGCUGCAACUGUUUAUUAAAAACACAGCACUGUGCAAACACGAAAGUGGACGUAUACGGUGUGACGCCUGCCCGGUGCCGGAAGGUUAAUUGAUGGGGUAGCGAAGCGAAGCUCUUGAUCGAAGCCCCGGUAAACGGCGGCCGUAACUAUAACGGUCCUAAGGUAGCGAAAUUCCUUGUCGGGUAAGUUCCGACCUGCACGAAUGGCGUAAUGAUGGCCAGGCUGUCUCCACCCGAGACUCAGUGAAAUUGAACUCGCUGUGAAGAUGCAGUGUACCCGCGGCAAGACGGAAAGACCCCGUGAACCUUUACUAUAGCUUGACACUGAACAUUGAGCCUUGAUGUGUAGGAUAGGUGGGAGGCUUUGAAGUGUGGACGCCAGUCUGCAUGGAGCCGACCUUGAAAUACCACCCUUUAAUGUUUGAUGUUCUAACGUUGACCCGUAAUCCGGGUUGCGGACAGUGUCUGGUGGGUAGUUUGACUGGGGCGGUCUCCUCCUAAAGAGUAACGGAGGAGCACGAAGGUUGGCUAAUCCUGGUCGGACAUCAGGAGGUUAGUGCAAUGGCAUAAGCCAGCUUGACUGCGAGCGUGACGGCGCGAGCAGGUGCGAAAGCAGGUCAUAGUGAUCCGGUGGUUCUGAAUGGAAGGGCCAUCGCUCAACGGAUAAAAGGUACUCCGGGGAUAACAGGCUGAUACCGCCCAAGAGUUCAUAUCGACGGCGGUGUUUGGCACCUCGAUGUCGGCUCAUCACAUCCUGGGGCUGAAGUAGGUCCCAAGGGUAUGGCUGUUCGCCAUUUAAAGUGGUACGCGAGCUGGGUUUAGAACGUCGUGAGACAGUUCGGUCCCUAUCUGCCGUGGGCGCUGGAGAACUGAGGGGGGCUGCUCCUAGUACGAGAGGACCGGAGUGGACGCAUCACUGGUGUUCGGGUUGUCAUGCCAAUGGCACUGCCCGGUAGCUAAAUGCGGAAGAGAUAAGUGCUGAAAGCAUCUAAGCACGAAACUUGCCCCGAGAUGAGUUCUCCCUGACCCUUUAAGGGUCCUGAAGGAACGUUGAAGACGACGACGUUGAUAGGCCGGGUGUGUAAGCGCAGCGAUGCGUUGAGCUAACCGGUACUAAUGAACCGUGAGGCUUAACCU